Molecule: non-coding RNA, 197 nt
Filed under: Clostridium pasteurianum
Lineage: Bacteria; Bacillati; Bacillota; Clostridia; Eubacteriales; Clostridiaceae
Description: T-box sequence
Rfam family: T-box leader
About the family: Uncharged tRNA acts as the effector for transcription antitermination of genes in the T-box leader family. T-boxes are found upstream of many aminoacyl-tRNA synthetase genes and some amino acid biosynthetic genes usually in Gram-positive bacteria. The anticodon of a specific tRNA base pairs to a specifier sequence within the T-box motif, and the NCCA acceptor tail of the tRNA base pairs to a conserved bulge in the T-box antiterminator hairpin.
Source: RNAcentral
AUAAAGACUAUGAUUGGGAAGAGUAAGUAAUAUAAAUGUUUUAAAGAGAGUGGGGUUAGGUGAGAACCCGCAGACUAAAUAUUACCGAAAAUCACCCUUGAGUUGCAAGCUGAAUUCUUAGUAAGCUAAGCCGGCAUGUCCGUUAUGAUUUUCAAGUAAGUAUUUGGGUGGUACCGCGAGCAGACUUCGCCCCAUAA